CUUAGUUGCUACGCAAGAGCACUCUAAGGAGACUGCCGGUGACAAACCGGAGGAAGGUGGGGAUGACGUCAAGUCCUCAUGGCCCUUAUGGGUAGGGCUUCACACGUCAUACAAUGGUCGGUACAGAGGGGUUGCCAAGCCGCGAGGUGGAGCCAAUCCCACAAAGCCGAUCGUAGUCCGGAUUGUUCUCUGCAACUCGAGAGCAUGAAGUCGGAAUCGCUAGUAAUCGCAGGUCAGCAUACUGCGGUGAAUACGUUCCCGGGUCUU
RNAcentral lists this ribosomal RNA (267 nucleotides) under uncultured Thiobacillus sp. RNAcentral's name for it is "partial 16S ribosomal RNA". It matches the Rfam family "Bacterial small subunit ribosomal RNA", at positions 1110 to 1382 of the family's 1533-position model. The record is from RNAcentral. Lineage: Bacteria; Pseudomonadati; Pseudomonadota; Betaproteobacteria; Nitrosomonadales; Thiobacillaceae.